GACCCAUAGUACCCCAUUCCUUGCUGCAAUGUAAUUAUAUUUACUUACAAGUGUGCUCCUGGUGGUCUUUAACUGAAGGGCACUGACUGGGUCACUGGUGAAGUUCCCCGCAGGAACUGAGUCAGACCCCAUCUCAGGGCCCUGCACAAGAUAGGUACCUGCUCUAAGGCGUGGACCCUCGCCACAGCCCUGGCCCGUCUUGACGGGCGAGGGUUACUGUACUUGUCCCAACCGUACAGAUGAGAAAGCUGAGACUCAGGGCCAGCAACCCGGGUCCCAGCGGAGCGCCCGGCACGCGCCAACACUUCAGCACCAGUCGCGGUGGCCACCACUGUGCGCGGAGAUGGCUGCGACGCGUGCGCAGAAUCUGGACCCGAAUCCACCCAUUGUCCGUUUUCCGCUGCCGCUGGAGAGAAUCUCUGAGGUCCCCAGGAGAGCCUGCCUGCACGGAAGAGACGCCUCCUCGAUUAAAUGCUGUUUUCCAUGACCGUCUCUGUUCUUCCCAUACGCGAAUGGCAGGCAUUCAGAUCUCCAAGAAUAGAGGAUUAGGAGAGACUCCACCACCUAUGUCCUCACAGUUAAUUAUCGAUUUGUGUCAGUUGCCCAUUUUCUCACUUCCUGUUUGUGUGUCAAGGGGUAUUAAUAAAUCUUUGCCUAUUUAAAGAUA
RNAcentral lists this long non-coding RNA (667 nucleotides) under Homo sapiens (human). RNAcentral describes it as "HSALNT0352354". Lineage: Eukaryota; Metazoa; Chordata; Mammalia; Primates; Hominidae. The record is from RNAcentral.